Molecule: ribosomal RNA, 987 nt
Filed under: Escherichia coli
Lineage: Bacteria; Pseudomonadati; Pseudomonadota; Gammaproteobacteria; Enterobacterales; Enterobacteriaceae
Description: partial 23S ribosomal RNA
Rfam family: Bacterial large subunit ribosomal RNA
Source: RNAcentral
AGGGGGUCAUCCCGACUUACCAACCCGAUGCAAACUGCGAAUACCGGAGAAUGUUAUCACGGGAGACACACGGCGGGUGCUAACGUCCGUCGUGAAGAGGGAAACAACCCAGACCGCCAGCUAAGGUCCCAAAGUCAUGGUUAAGUGGGAAACGAUGUGGGAAGGCCCAGACAGCCAGGAUGUUGGCUUAGAAGCAGCCAUCAUUUAAAGAAAGCGUAAUAGCUCACUGGUCGAGUCGGCCUGCGCGGAAGAUGUAACGGGGCUAAACCAUGCACCGAAGCUGCGGCAGCGACGCUGAUGCGUUGUUGGGUAGGGGAGCGUUCUGUAAGCCUGCGAAGGUGUGCUGUGAGGCAUGCUGGAGGUAUCAGAAGUGCGAAUGCUGACAUAAGUAACGAUAAAGCGGGUGAAAAGCCCGCUCGCCGGAAGACCAAGGGUUCCUGUCCAACGUUAAUCGGGGCAGGGUGAGUCGACCCCUAAGGCGAGGCCGAAAGGCGUAGUCGAUGGGAAACAGGUUAAUAUUCCUGUACUUGGUGUUACUGCGAAGGGGGGACGGAGAAGGCUAUGUUGGCCGGGCGACGGUUGUCCCGGUUUAAGCGUGUAGGCUGGUUUUCCAGGCAAAUCCGGAAAAUCAAGGCUGAGGCGUGAUGACGAGGCACUACGGUGCUGAAGCAACAAAUGCCCUGCUUCCAGGAAAAGCCUCUAAGCAUCAGGUAACAUCAAAUCGUACCCCAAACCGACACAGGUGGUCAGGUAGAGAAUACCAAGGCGCUUGAGAGAACUCGGGUGAAGGAACUAGGCAAAAUGGUGCCGUAACUUCGGGAGAAGGCACGCUGAUAUGUAGGUGAAGUCCCUUGCGGAUGGAGCUGAAAUCAGUCGAAGAUACCAGCUGGCUGCAACUGUUUAUUAAAAACACAGCACUGUGCAAACACGAAAGUGGACGUAUACGGUGUGACGCCUGCCCGGUGCCGGAAGGUUAAUUGAUGGGGU